Molecule: ribosomal RNA, 253 nt
Filed under: uncultured bacterium
Lineage: Bacteria
Description: partial 16S ribosomal RNA
Rfam family: Bacterial small subunit ribosomal RNA
Source: RNAcentral
UACGGAGGGUGCGAGCGUUGUCCGGAAUCACUGGGCGUAAAGGGCGCGUAGGCGGCGCGGGUAGUCAUCGGUGAAAGUUCAGGGCUCAACUCUGAAUCGGCCGGUGAUACUCCCGUGCUCGAGCACUGUAGAGGCAGGUGGAAUUCCGGGUGUAGCGGUGGAAUGCGUAGAGAUCCGGAAGAACACCGGUGGCGAGGGCGGCCUGCUGGGCAGUAGCUGACGCUGAUGCGCGACAGCGUGGGGAGCAAACAGG